GCGUGUUGGUGUCAGGAAGUGUGUUGUGACUCUGCACUGCUUCUGAAAUUAAUUUUUUUUUAUUAAUCCGUUGGUGAUUGAAUAUUUUAACUAGUUUCUAUGGAAGUAUUAUUUCCAGAAAAACUUUUCAUUGACUUAGUGAUUAGGACAUCUACUUGCACGCAAGUCAUACUUAUCAAGAGGAUGAUAAUGUGACAUUUCCCCAAAGUUCGAAGAAUUCAUUAACAACGCUGUAGUUGUACAUCGCCAGAAUCAAGUUUAUAUGAGAAAUUUCCGCCAGCGCGAGCGGACUACCUUACCAACAGUCACGUCAGCAUCAAAGCGGGCCUAACGCUCUCCAUCUACUCCGCAUAGGGAAGAGUUUGUGGCGGAUCGGCCAAUCUACUGCAUCUACAUUAUCUUUCUACGUGUAAGUUUUAGCUGUUCGCUUGAGAUACUCAUUAAAGCCAUGCUACACGGCGCGAGGAGCGGCUAUCGCGCUGCGUGUGUGCCUAUGCUUAAUUCGUUACUAGGAGCGAAGAUUAUCAAUCUACGUUCCGUGUAAAGUCGUUGUUACACGGUACUUGGAUUGCCAAUCCACGCCCGCGUAUCGGGUUCUACACGGCCUGUAGCGGGCAGGCGCGUUCUAGCGUGUUCUGGCUUUUUGUCACAGAGAAGGCGGGAGUAGAGUUUGCCAAUUUACGCUCCAAGUAACGGGGUUGACGCGGUCUGGAAAGUGAAGGAACUUCCUAACGCGUUCUUUCCCAAGCAUCGUCGGUAAAUGUCAUAAAUAUAUAUACAUUACCGGAAAUGUAUGAAAUCUAGGAAUUGUAUACAAUUCCGAGGCUAUUUAGGAAAUGUACUUAUAAAAUUUUAGUGUAUUUUGGUGUUAAAACUAAUGAAAUACCAAGAAAACAUUAACAUUAACAAAUAUCAAUUUAUAACAAUAACAACGAAAACACAAGU
Molecule: long non-coding RNA, 945 nt
Organism: Agrilus planipennis (emerald ash borer)
Lineage: Eukaryota; Metazoa; Arthropoda; Insecta; Coleoptera; Buprestidae
Exons: 3
Source: RefSeq, a predicted model, not a curated record